Molecule: ribosomal RNA, 814 nt
Filed under: uncultured bacterium
Lineage: Bacteria
Description: bacterial SSU rRNA
Rfam family: Bacterial small subunit ribosomal RNA
Source: RNAcentral
AUACAUGCAAGUCGUACGCUUCUUUUUCCACCGGAGCUUGCUCCACCGGAAAAAGAGGAGUGGCGAACGGGUGAGUAACACGUGGGUAACCUGCCCAUCAGAAGGGGAUAACACUUGGAAACAGGUGCUAAUACCGUAUAACAAUCGAAACCGCAUGGUUUUGAUUUGAAAGGCGCUUUCGGGUGUCGCUGAUGGAUGGACCCGCGGUGCAUUAGCUAGUUGGUGAGGUAACGGCUCACCAAGGCCACGAUGCAUAGCCGACCUGAGAGGGUGAUCGGCCACAUUGGGACUGAGACACGGCCCAAACUCCUACGGGAGGCAGCAGUAGGGAAUCUUCGGCAAUGGACGAAAGUCUGACCGAGCAACGCCGCGUGAGUGAAGAAGGUUUUCGGAUCGUAAAACUCUGUUGUUAGAGAAGAACAAGGAUGAGAGUAACUGUUCAUCCCUUGACGGUAUCUAACCAGAAAGCCACGGCUAACUACGUGCCAGCAGCCGCGGUAAUACGUAGGUGGCAAGCGUUGUCCGGAUUUAUUGGGCGUAAAGCGAGCGCAGGCGGUUUCUUAAGUCUGAUGUGAAAGCCCCCGGCUCAACCGGGGAGGGUCAUUGGAAACUGGGAGACUUGAGUGCAGAAGAGGAGAGUGGAAUUCCAUGUGUAGCGGUGAAAUGCGUAGAUAUAUGGAGGAACACCAGUGGCGAAGGCGGCUCUCUGGUCUGUAACUGACGCUGAGGCUCGAAAGCGUGGGGAGCAAACAGGAUUAGAUACCCUGGUAGUCCACGCCGUAAACGAUGAGUGCUAAGUGUUGGAGGGUUUCCG